Long non-coding RNA from Lytechinus pictus (painted urchin), 1995 nucleotides. RefSeq lists it as uncharacterized. Lineage: Eukaryota; Metazoa; Echinodermata; Echinoidea; Temnopleuroida; Toxopneustidae. The record is from RefSeq and is a predicted model, not a curated record. The transcript is spliced from 3 exons.
GCUUGAUCUCCGCCUUCAGCUGUGCGGAUUACAUACAGCAUCAUUCUGCAGUGCCCUGCAACUCUCAACACCAUCCCCCGGAGUGUAGGCAGGCGACUCCUUGUCGUUCCGUAUGCCAGCUGCUAGCGCGCGCUGGCAGAGUUCGAUGUUGGUUGGAAUUUUGGAUAAUUUGGAUUAGUCAAUUUCACGGUGCAAAAUGUCGAAUAUGAGCGAUGAAGAGUCUCGGGACAAGCUCCUGAAGACGGUCAAAAAAGAGGUGAAACAGAUCAUGGAGGAAGCUGUCACAAGGAAAUUUGUUCAUGAGGAAAGUGGAAGCAUCAUCUCUCUAUGUGGUAAGUUUACAUCCAUUUGGUUGUCAUGGAAACUGAUUUAACUCUUCAGUGGAGAGGGGGGGGGGCAGAUGGUGCUCAUUUCGAGUACAUGUAGGACUUUGAGGCCAAUUGCAAAAAGAGAAAUUUGUUAUUCAGGGAAUAAUUUUCCUGGUAUCACAUUGCAAUUUGCUCCACAAUUUUGAAAGACUGCUAGUGCUAUGCCUAAAGUCUUUUGUAUAGCACAUUUUUACAUAGGACUGUACAUUACUUACAAUAGUUGAGAGCUUUUCUCUUAUGACCAAAAGUGCUAUUCAAAUUUGUAAAGUAAAAUUAUUCCCUGUUAUUGCAUCUAAAAAAAAAUGAUAGUCCCAAAUGUAUUCUUCUAAUUACCGGUACAUCUGUGUUUUGAGUUCAAUGGCAACUUCUUCAAAAUGGGCUCUCUGUUGUGUUAAUGUGAAACUUUAAAAUUUAUAAACACUGUACAAGGGAGACAAGAGAAGUACCGGUAGUCUUUAUGCGUCGUGGUGUAGCGGUUUUGACUCUCGCCUUGUAAUCAGAGGGUCGUGUGUUCGAAUCCCACCAUGGCCUAGCGUCCUUUGGCAAGGCGUUAAUCCACACUUUGCCACUCUCCACCCAGGUGUUAAAUGGGUACCCGGUAGGAUGUGAAAGCCUAUAUGUAUUAUGCCUAGCAAUUGAGUCUUGGAACUCUUGUUGGAAUGCUCCCCAGGGAGUGGAGAAGGUGCAUAUAUUGUAUGCGGGCAUGCAAGGAUCCGAUGACCGGGGUAAUAAUAUGUCUGUAAAGCGCUUAGAGACGUCGUUCCGAUGUAUUAAGCGCUAUAUAAAUGCGGAAUAUUAUAUUAUUUAUGGACAGGUGCCUUCACACUUUGUCAAUGGGGAUUUAUACAAUAUAAAUGAAACAAAACUUGUGAUCUCUGACCACAGGGAGGUGACCCUUCUAUACAGGUGGUUGCUGGUUGCGGACUAGACUGCAAAAUCAUUAGAGUUGUCAGAUCUCCUAACAUUCAAAGUAUCACAAAAGUGCAUGUUUUUCAAAUUUGUGUGCACUGUAGUUACAUGUAAAAUGCAUUACAUUACAUGUACAUGUAUGUAUUUAGUCUUGUAAAAUAUUCUCCCAAGAAAUCAACAACUGUACAAAAACCAACUUUAGUUUUAGAAAGGAUGAUCAUUCAAAACUUAAAAUAAGAUCCAUAAUUUCAUUUUAAAAUCUUGAGUUUUAUAAAGGAUGAUCAUUCAAAACUUAAAAUAAGAUCCAUAAUUUCAUUUCAAAAUCUUUAGUUUUAUAAAGGAUGAUCAUUAAAAACUUAAAAUAAGAUGUUCAAUAAUCACAUGUCAUAUUUACAUACGUAGAAGUAGUUUAAACAUUGAAUAUAUUGUUAUCUGACUAUCAUCAUAACUUUAUAGAGUGAGCAAAUAGGUAACCUCCUUGGUAUUAUAAGCCAGUGACAAAGUUGUGGUCUAUAGAUGUCCAUUCACUGACCUUGUGGCAAUAAUAUAGCCUUUUGGAAUUCUGUACAAGUAUGAUAAUGUGUGUAUACAUGUACAUGUGUAUUGUGUCUAAGCUUAUAUUGUUUUUAAUGCAAAUUCACCAACAUGAAGAAGGCCUGAUGUAUCUGGAGCAAAAAUUUUGUUAUUAAUAUUAUUUUAUACUGUUCUUUGGAAAUUA